CCUACGGGUGGCUGCAGUAAGGAAUAUUGCGCAAUGGGCGACAGCCUGACGCAGCGACGCCGCGUGGGGGAUGAAGGUCUUCGGAUUGUAAACCCCUUUCGGCAGGGAAGAUGGAACGGGAAACCGUUCGGACGGUACCUGCAGAAGCAGCCACGGCUAACUUCGUGCCAGCAGCCGCGGUAAUACGAAGGUGGCAAGCGUUGUUCGGAUUUACUGGGCGUACAGGGAGCGUAGGCGGUUGGGUAAGCCCUUCGUGAAAUCUCCGGGCCUAACCC
RNAcentral lists this ribosomal RNA (275 nucleotides) under uncultured Nitrospira sp. Its description in RNAcentral is "partial 16S ribosomal RNA". It matches the Rfam family "Bacterial small subunit ribosomal RNA", at positions 338 to 615 of the family's 1533-position model. Lineage: Bacteria; Pseudomonadati; Nitrospirota; Nitrospiria; Nitrospirales; Nitrospiraceae. The record is from RNAcentral.